This 24-nucleotide non-coding RNA is filed under the name Arabidopsis thaliana (thale cress). The record is from RNAcentral. Lineage: Eukaryota; Viridiplantae; Streptophyta; Magnoliopsida; Brassicales; Brassicaceae.
AGCAAUGUCGCAAAUGCCUCGCAA